Molecule: non-coding RNA, 27 nt
Filed under: Mus musculus (house mouse)
Lineage: Eukaryota; Metazoa; Chordata; Mammalia; Rodentia; Muridae
Source: RNAcentral
UAGGUAACGUGCCCUCUGAGUUCUCCA